GAUGAACGCUAGCGGGAGGCCUAACACAUGCAAGCCGAGCGGUAGAGUCUCUUCUGAGUCUUGAGAGCGGCGCACGGGUGCGGAACACGUGUGCAACCUGCCUUUAUCUGGGGGACAGCCUUUCGAAAGGAAGAUUAAUACCCCAUAAUAUACUGGAUGGCAUCAUCUGGUAUUGAAAACUCCGGUGGUUAGAGAUGGGCACGCGCCAGAUCAGAUAGUUGGUGAGGUAACGGCUCACCAAGUCAGCGAUCUUUAGGGGGCCUGAGAGGGUGAUCCCCAACACUGGUACUGAGACACGGACCAGACUCCUACGGGAGGCAGAAGUGACGAACAUUGGACACCGGGGGCGAGCCUGAUCCAGCCAUCCCGCGUGAAAGACGACGGAUCUAUGGGUUGUAAACUUCUUUUGUAUAGGGAUAAACCGAGGUACGUGUAUCUAGAUGAAGGUACUACACGAGUAAGCACCGGCUAACUCCGUG
RNAcentral lists this ribosomal RNA (479 nucleotides) under uncultured bacterium. RNAcentral describes it as "partial 16S ribosomal RNA". It matches the Rfam family "Bacterial small subunit ribosomal RNA", at positions 28 to 507 of the family's 1533-position model. The record is from RNAcentral.